RNAcentral lists this ribosomal RNA (484 nucleotides) under uncultured bacterium. RNAcentral describes it as "partial 16S ribosomal RNA". It matches the Rfam family "Bacterial small subunit ribosomal RNA", at positions 28 to 507 of the family's 1533-position model. The record is from RNAcentral.
AUUGAACGCUGGCGGCAUGCUUUACACAUGCAAGUCGAACGGCAGCGCGGGCUUCGGCCUGGCGGCGAGUAGCGAACGGGUGAGUAAUGCAUCGGAACGUGCCCAGUAGUGGGGGAUAGCCCGGCGAAAGCCGGAUUAAUACCGCAUACGACCUGCGGGUGAAAGCGGGGGACCGAAAGGCCUCGCGCUAUUGCAGCGGCCGAUGUCGGAUUAGCUAGUUGGUGGGGUAAAGGCUUACCAAGGCGACGAUCCGUAGCUGGUCUGAGAGGACGACCAGCCACACUGGGACUGAGACACGGCCCAGACUCCUACGGGAGGCAGCAGUGGGGAAUUUUGGACAAUGGGGGCAACCCUGAUCCAGCCAUGCCGCGUGCGGGAAGAAGGCCUUCGGGUUGUAAACCGCUUUUGUUCGGGAAGAAAUCCUCUGGGCUAAUACCCCGGGGGGAUGACGGUACCGGAAGAAUAAGCACCGGCUAACUACGUG